UCAGGAUGAACGCUGGCGGCGUGCCUAAUACAUGCAAGUCGAGCGGUAAGGCCUCUUCGGAGGUACACGAGCGGCGGACGGCUGAGUAACACGUAGGAACGUACCCCAAAGUGAGGGAUAACUGCUCGAAAGAGUAGCUAAUACCGCAUGUGCUCUAAGGAGUAAAGCUUCGGCGCUUUGGGAACGGCCUGCGCAUGAUUAGCUUGUUGGUGAGGUAAUGGCUCACCAAGGCGACGAUCAUUAGCUGGUCUGAGAGGAUGAUCAGCCAGACUGGGACUGAGACACGGCCCAGACUCCUACGGGAGGCAGCAGUAGGGAAUUUUCCACAAUGGGCGAAAGCCUGAUGGAGCAACGCCGCGUGCAGGAUGAAUGCCUUAGGGUUGUAAACUGCUUUUAUAUGUGACGAAUAUGACGGUAGCAUAUGAAUAAGGAUCGGCUAACUCCGUGCCAGCAGCCGCGGUCAUACGGAGGAUCCAAGCGUUAUCCGGAAUUACUGGGCGUAAAGAGUUGCGUAGGUGGCAUAGUAAGCGAGUAGUGAAAGCGUGUGGCUCAACCAUACUCACAUUAUUCGAACUGCUAAGCUAGAGGAUGAGAGAGGUUAUUGGAAUUCCCAGUGUAGGAGUGAAAUCCGCAGAUAUUGGGAGGAACACCGAUGGCGUAGGCAGAUAACUGGCUCAUUCCUGACACUAAGGCACGAAAGCGUGGGGAGCAAACGGGAUUAGAUACACCGGUA
This 733-nucleotide ribosomal RNA is filed under the name uncultured bacterium. Its description in RNAcentral is "bacterial SSU rRNA". It matches the Rfam family "Bacterial small subunit ribosomal RNA", at positions 24 to 792 of the family's 1533-position model. The record is from RNAcentral.